GUGGUAAUGCCGGAUGCUCCAGUUGAUCGCAUGGUCUUCUGGGAAAGCUUUCGCGGUAUGGGAUGGGGUCGCGUCCUAUCAGCUUGACGGCGGGGUAACGGCCCACCGUGGCUUCGACGGGUAGCCGGCCUGAGAGGGCGACCGGCCACAUUGGGACUGAGAUACGGCCCAGACUCCUACGGGAGGCAGCAGUGGGGAAUAUUGCACAAUGGGCGCAAGCCUGAUGCAGCGACGCCGCGUGAGGGAUGGAGGCCUUCGGGUUGUAAACCUCUUUUAUCGGGGAGCAAGCGAGAGUGAGUUUACCCGUUGAAUAAGCACCGGCUAACUACGUGCCAGCAGCCGCGGUAAUACGUAGGGUGCAAGCGUUAUCCGGAAUUAUUGGGCGUAAAGGGCUCGUAGGCGGUUCGUCGCGUCCGGUGUGAAAGUCCAUCGCUUAACGGUGGAUCCGCGCCGGGUACGGGCGGGCUUGAGUGCGGUAGGGGAGACUGGAAUUCCCGGUGUAACGGUGGAAUGUGUAGAUAUCGGAAAGAACACC
This 535-nucleotide ribosomal RNA is filed under the name Bifidobacterium longum subsp. suillum. RNAcentral's name for it is "bacterial SSU rRNA". It matches the Rfam family "Bacterial small subunit ribosomal RNA", at positions 160 to 710 of the family's 1533-position model. Lineage: Bacteria; Bacillati; Actinomycetota; Actinomycetes; Bifidobacteriales; Bifidobacteriaceae. The record is from RNAcentral.